CCCUUAGAUGUCCUGGGCCGCACGCGCGCUACGCUGAGUGUCUGAGAUACGAGUCUGCCUAGCCGGCGAGGUCUAGGUAAUCGCUGAAAGACACAUCAUGCUUGGGAUAGAUUAUUGCAGAUAUUAAUCUUGAACGAGGAAUUCCUAGUAAGCGCAAGUCAACAGCUUGCGUUGAUUACGUCCCUGCCCUUUGUACACACCGCCCGUCGCUACUACUGAUUGGAUGUUUAAGCGAGGUUCUCGAACUGCUAGCGACUUAGCUUCGGUGAGGUCGCAGUGUGGGAAGUGAACCUAGCUUUGGUGUCUAGAGGAAGUAAAAGUCGUAACA
RNAcentral lists this ribosomal RNA (328 nucleotides) under uncultured eukaryote. Its description in RNAcentral is "partial 18S ribosomal RNA". It matches the Rfam family "Eukaryotic small subunit ribosomal RNA", at positions 1470 to 1796 of the family's 1831-position model. The record is from RNAcentral.